This 222-nucleotide ribosomal RNA is filed under the name uncultured bacterium. RNAcentral describes it as "partial 16S ribosomal RNA". It matches the Rfam family "Bacterial small subunit ribosomal RNA", at positions 524 to 743 of the family's 1533-position model. The record is from RNAcentral.
UACGUAGGGUGCGAGCGUUGUCCGGAAUUAUUGGGCGUAAAGAGCUUGUAGGCGGUUUGUCGCGUCUGCUGUGAAAAUCCGGGGCUCAACCCCGGACUUGCAGUGGGUACGGGCAGACUAGAGUGUGGUAGGGGGAGACUGGAAUUCCUGGUGUAGCGGUGAAAUGCGCAGAUAUCAGGAGGAACACCGAUGGCGAAGGCAGGUCUCUGGGCAUUAAACUGA